UAGGGAAUCUUCCACAAUGGACGCAAGUCUGAUGGAGCAACGCCGCGUGAGUGAAGAAGGGUUUCGGCUCGUAAAGCUCUGUUGUUAAAGAAGAAUGUGGGUAAGAGUAACUGUUUACCCAGUGACGGUAUUUAACCAGAAAGCCACGGCUAACUACGUACCG
RNAcentral lists this ribosomal RNA (163 nucleotides) under uncultured bacterium. RNAcentral's name for it is "partial 16S rRNA". It matches the Rfam family "Bacterial small subunit ribosomal RNA", at positions 355 to 510 of the family's 1533-position model. The record is from RNAcentral.